Molecule: transfer RNA, 71 nt
Filed under: Losaria neptunus
Lineage: Eukaryota; Metazoa; Arthropoda; Insecta; Lepidoptera; Papilionidae
Description: trnA-Leu
Source: RNAcentral
ACUAUUUUGGCAGAGAAAAUGUAAUGAUUUUAGAAAUCAUAAAUAUAUAUGGUUAUAAUAUAUAUAUAGUA